UACGAAGGGGGCUAGCGUUGCUCGGAAUCACUGGGCGUAAAGGGUGCGUAGGCGGGUCUUUAAGUCCGGGGGGAAAUCCUGGAGCUCAACUCCAGAACUGCCUUUGAUACUGAGGAUCUUGAGUUCGGGAGAGGUGAGUGGAACUGCGAGUGUAGAGGUGAAAUUCGUAGAUAUUCGCAAGAACACCAGUGGCGAAGGCGGCUCACUGGCCCGAUACUGACGCUGAGGCACGAAAGCGUGGGGAGCAAACAGG
Molecule: ribosomal RNA, 253 nt
Filed under: uncultured bacterium
Lineage: Bacteria
Description: partial 16S ribosomal RNA
Rfam family: Bacterial small subunit ribosomal RNA
Source: RNAcentral